CCUACGGGUGGCAGCAGUGAGGAAUAUUGGUCAAUGGGCGUAAGCCUGAACCAGCCAAGUCGCGUGAGGGAUGAAGGUUCUAUGGAUUGUAAACCUCUUUUAUAAGGGAAUAAAGUGUGGGACGUGUCCUAUUUUGUAUGUACCUUAUGAAUACGGAUCGGCUAACUCCGUGCCAGCAGCCGCGGUAAUACGGAGGAUCCGAGCGUUAUCCGGAUUUAUUGGGUUUAAAGGGCGCGUAGGCGGCUUUUUAAGUCAGGGGUGAAAGUCUGUGGCGCAACCAUAGAAUUGCAGUUGAAACUGGGGGGCUUGAGUAUGUUAGAGGCAGGCGGAAUGCGUGGUGUAGCGGUGAAAUGCUUAGAGAUCACGCAGAACCCCGAUUGCGAAGGCAGCCUGCCAAGCCGUGACUGACGCUGAUGCACGAAAGCGUGGGGAUCAAACAGGAUUAGAUACCCCAGUAGUC
RNAcentral lists this ribosomal RNA (460 nucleotides) under uncultured bacterium. RNAcentral's name for it is "partial 16S ribosomal RNA". It matches the Rfam family "Bacterial small subunit ribosomal RNA", at positions 338 to 795 of the family's 1533-position model. The record is from RNAcentral.